UACGGAGGGUGCAAACGUUGCUCGGAAUCAUUGGGCGUAAAGCGCACGUAGGCGGCCUGUUAAGUCGGAUGUGAAAGCCCCGGGCUCAACCCGGGAAGUGCAUACGAAACUGGCGGGCUUGAAUAUGGAAGAGGGUCGCGGAAUUCCCGGUGUAGAGGUGAAAUUCGUAGAUAUCGGGUGGAACACCAGUGGCGAAGGCGGCGACCUGGGCCAAUAUUGACGCUGAGGUGCGAAAGCGUGGGGAGCAAACAGG
RNAcentral lists this ribosomal RNA (253 nucleotides) under uncultured bacterium. Its description in RNAcentral is "partial 16S ribosomal RNA". It matches the Rfam family "Bacterial small subunit ribosomal RNA", at positions 524 to 776 of the family's 1533-position model. The record is from RNAcentral.